UGUCUUGUCUUUUUGUCUGCUGGUGUUAAUGUUUCUGAGUCUGUGUUUCAGGGGGAAGCAGUGGAUUUGGCUAACGUGCCCGCGGAGUACCACGACCUGAAGGAGGUGUUCAAUCCUCAUUCAUGUCUCCACGUCCUAGUUGGUUUACCGUCUUCCGUGUUCGUGUGCUGGAUUGUGUUCGUGUUGUCGUCUUCGUGUCAGUGUUCCGGUCUGUUCCUGGUUUCAUCCAUUGACCGUCUUCACCUUCACCUGCGACUUCACCAUCCAGCUCUUCUCACGCCACCGUAGACCUUCGUUUCCAUUGCCUACAUUCUGGACUCUGAUAUCAAUAAACUUCUUCUGAUUGCCUGCAAUUGCUUCCUCCUCUUUUACGAGCCGUCACAAUAUCACGGUUAUCGUCAAUACCAGUAUAUCGUGACACCCCUAGUACACACGUACACAAACACAUUCCUAUAGAGCAAACACAUAAUAGCCUACGCAUGCACAUUACAUCCUAAUUCUCACAAAUUCUUGUUUUCGUAGUUUAUACAGAGACAAUAACGUUAUUGUUUUCAAACACUUGCACUUUGAAACCCAUUUUCAAAAGUUUGCAUUUUCAGGCCCCCUGAAUAUUUUUCUGUUUUUAGUUGAAAAUGUUGUUGUGUAAACAUCCCCAAAAUAAAUGAUGGCAUUAAUGGGAAGACUAAUUAAACAUUAAGUCAACAACAUACUCAUGCUCAUAUAUCACCACUUUGUCACUUUAAAAUAAUUGUUUUUUUUGUUUGUUUUUUUUGUUUUUAAAGUGCACAGUCAGCUCACUCAAAUAAAGGUAGCUACAUCUCCAUGUCUGUGAUAGGCUAAGUAUUUCAUGAGUUUUCAUGACUGAUGAUCUGACAAUAAGUUGACUGUCAAAAAUAACAGAUGAAUAUCAGUUCAUAAAUAAAUUGUUUAAAUUAAUGUUAAAAUUUUAAUAAACAUGACAUUAAUUAUAUAAGUAAGUAAAAUAAGUAAGUCUCUCUCUUAAUUGAUGUUUAUAUAUUAUAUACUUGUUAUUUACCUUAUUUGCAUAUGCCUAUUAAUACCUAAAUUGUACAUUUAAGCCCCAGCGACAGCUUUUGUACCUUUAUUUCUGAGGGUGUAGAAGUGUUUCUGUACUAUUACAAUAGCAGUCACUUGGUUUGAUUUUACCAAAUGGUAAAUGUGAAGUAUAUUUUAGGUGUCAAACAAUUUUGAGC
Molecule: long non-coding RNA, 1214 nt
Organism: Cyprinus carpio carpio
Lineage: Eukaryota; Metazoa; Chordata; Actinopteri; Cypriniformes; Cyprinidae
Source: Ensembl